UACGGGGGGAGCAAGCGUUGUCCGGAAUCAUUGGGCGUAAAGAGCGUGUAGGCGGCUCGGUAAGUCCGCUGUAAAAGUCAAAGGCUCAACCUUUGAAUGUCAGUGGAUACUGCCGGGCUAGAGUCCGGAAGAGGCGAGUGGAACUCCUGGUGUAGCGGUGGAAUGCGCAGAUAUCAGGAAGAACACCAACGGCGAAGGCAGCUCGCUGGGACGGUACUGACGCUGAGACGCGAAAGCGUGGGGAGCGAACAGG
RNAcentral lists this ribosomal RNA (253 nucleotides) under uncultured bacterium. Its description in RNAcentral is "partial 16S ribosomal RNA". It matches the Rfam family "Bacterial small subunit ribosomal RNA", at positions 524 to 776 of the family's 1533-position model. The record is from RNAcentral.